ACGUAGGUGGCGAGCGUUAUCCGGAUUUACUGGGUGUAAAGCGCGUGCAGGCGGUGGGGUAAGGGAGGUGUGAAAGCACCCGGCUUAACCGGGGGAGGGCGCGCCCGACUGCGCGACUGGAGGUGGGUAGAGGCGUGUGGAAUUCCGGGUGUAGUGGUGAAAUGCGUAGAGAUCCGGAGGAACCCCGGUGGCGAAGGCGACUUGCUGGGCCUGAACUGACGCUCAGACGCGAAAGCAUGGGGAGCGAACGG
RNAcentral lists this ribosomal RNA (251 nucleotides) under uncultured prokaryote. RNAcentral's name for it is "partial 16S ribosomal RNA". It matches the Rfam family "Bacterial small subunit ribosomal RNA", at positions 525 to 775 of the family's 1533-position model. The record is from RNAcentral.